GACGAACGCUGGCGGCGUGCUUAACACAUGCAAGUCGAACGGAAAGGCCCUGCUUGCGUGGUGUGCUCGAGUGGCGAACGGGUGAGUAACACGUGUGUAACCUGCUCUUGUCUUUGGUAUAACUUCAGGAAACGGGGGCUAAUACCGGAUAGGAGAUCCUGCUGGAUGGUGGGGGUUGGAAAGUUUCGGCGGGUGGGGAUGGACGCGCGGCUUAUAGGCUUGUUGGUGGGGUAGUGGCUUACCAAGCGUUUGACGGGUAGCCGGCCUGGGAGGGGGAACGGCCACAUUGGGCCUGGGAUAGGGCCCAGACUCCAAUGGGGGGCAGUGGUGGGAAGUAUGACCCAGUGGGCGGACGCCGGUGGAGGCAACGCCGGGUGCGGAAUGCCGGCCUUCGGGUUGUAAACCGCUUUCGCCUGUGACGAAGCGUGAGUGACGGUACUGGGUGAAGAAGCACCGGCUAACUACGUG
RNAcentral lists this ribosomal RNA (468 nucleotides) under uncultured bacterium. Its description in RNAcentral is "partial 16S ribosomal RNA". It matches the Rfam family "Bacterial small subunit ribosomal RNA", at positions 28 to 507 of the family's 1533-position model. The record is from RNAcentral.